UCUUGAAUGGUUUUUGUAGAUUUAAUCUAGUAUAAAACACAGUGCAAGUAAUUCUAUUGCAUAGUUUUGAUAAGACUGUAAGCAGUACAUCAUGCCAUCCCCCUGUGAGCCCUGCAAAGAAACCUGCCAAGAAGGUGCCUGUGAAGACAAGUGCGCUUGCAAGGAAAAGGGCUGUGACGACUGUUCUGCUUCUGGUGGUUGCUGCUAAUCAAGAUGGACAGAGCUGAUGCAGGUCAGCGCGGCUCCAGAGCCACCAAGAUCCUGGAAGCUUUCUUCCCAAUUUCUUUUUCUGUUGUAUUCUUGAUUACUAUUGUUCUGUUUUACUGUUUAAUAUAGUUUUGUUAAACUUA
This is a long non-coding RNA of Colias croceus (clouded yellow), 350 nucleotides long. RefSeq lists it as uncharacterized. The record is from RefSeq and is a predicted model, not a curated record. The transcript is spliced from 3 exons. Lineage: Eukaryota; Metazoa; Arthropoda; Insecta; Lepidoptera; Pieridae.